GCAGGGUGUGGUGGCUCAUACCUGUAAUCCUAGCACUUUGGGAGGCUGAGGUGGGAGGAUCACUUGAGCCCAGGAGUUUGAGACUAGCCUGGGCAAUAUAGUGAGACCCCACCUUUA
Molecule: non-coding RNA, 117 nt
Filed under: Homo sapiens (human)
Lineage: Eukaryota; Metazoa; Chordata; Mammalia; Primates; Hominidae
Source: Rfam by way of RNAcentral